Molecule: long non-coding RNA, 317 nt
Organism: Melopsittacus undulatus (budgerigar)
Lineage: Eukaryota; Metazoa; Chordata; Aves; Psittaciformes; Psittaculidae
Exons: 3
Source: RefSeq, a predicted model, not a curated record
AGUCUUAGAUGCUCUUUCAGUUAAGGGAUUAGCAGGAGUGUCACUGUGAGAACCGUGGACUAAGUGAUCUUUCCAGGACAUUGGUGCAAGGAAGGCCAAGCACUGGGAAAAUGACCCACGUGGACUGGAUGAGUGUCCCAAAGGAAUAGAUGAGGAGAAAGGAAAGAGAAAAAGAUGUCUCUGGUGUGACAACUGAUGUGACUGUGACUGAUGGACCAGAUAAGCUUACUAGUGAAGGAUCAGGCUAAAAUAACUUGAGGAUGUGGAAUGGCAAUUAUCCAGCUACAAAAUGAUUGAUUAAAACCGUGCAACAGUUA